GUGGGGAAUAUUGGACAAUGGGCGAAAGCCUGAUCCAGCCAUGCCGCGUGUGUGAAGAAGGUCUUCGGAUUGUAAAGCACUUUAAGUUGGGAGGAAGGGCAGUAAGUUAAUACCUUGCUGUUUUGACGUUACCGACAGAAUAAGCACCGGCUAACUUCGUGCCAGCAGCCGCGGUAAUACGAAGGGUGCAAGCGUUAAUCGGAAUUACUGGGCGUAAAGCGCGCGUAGGUGGGUUUGUAAGUUGGAGGUGAAAUCACCGGGCUCAACAUGGGAACUACCUCCAAAACUGCAUGACUAGAGUACGGUAGAGGGUAGUGGAAUUUCCUGUGUAGCGGUGAAAUGCGUAGAUAUAGGAAGGAACACCAGUGGCGAAGGCGACUACCUGGACUGAUACUGACACUGAGGUGCGAAAGCGUGGGGAGCAAACAGGAUUAGAAACCCCGGUAGUCC
RNAcentral lists this ribosomal RNA (450 nucleotides) under uncultured bacterium. RNAcentral describes it as "bacterial SSU rRNA". It matches the Rfam family "Bacterial small subunit ribosomal RNA", at positions 354 to 796 of the family's 1533-position model. The record is from RNAcentral.